AGGGUCCAGUUGUGGGGAAUGUUGACUGGUUCGGUAGCGACUGAACUUCACCUUGAACCAGAUUGAUAUCGGACCAGGCUUCAUUCCCCUCAGCAUGACUCU
Molecule: non-coding RNA, 102 nt
Organism: Marchantia polymorpha subsp. ruderalis
Lineage: Eukaryota; Viridiplantae; Streptophyta; Marchantiopsida; Marchantiales; Marchantiaceae
Source: the annotation of a GenBank genome assembly